Molecule: ribosomal RNA, 492 nt
Filed under: uncultured bacterium
Lineage: Bacteria
Description: partial 16S ribosomal RNA
Rfam family: Bacterial small subunit ribosomal RNA
Source: RNAcentral
AGCGAACGCUGGCGGUAGGCCUAACACAUGCAAGUCGAACGGCGGCACAGUAAGAGCUUGCUCUUACGGGUGGCGAGUGGCGGACGGGUGAGGAAUACAUCGGAAUCUACUUUUUCGUGGGGGAUAACGUAGGGAAACUUACGCUAAUACCGCAUACGACCUACGGGUGAAAGCAGGGGAUCUCCGGACCUUGCGCGAUUGAAUGAGCCGAUGUCGGAUUAGCUAGUUGGCGGGGUAAAGGCCCACCAAGGCGACGAUCCGUAGCUGGUCUGAGAGGAUGAUCAGCCACACUGGAACUGAGACACGGUCCAGACUCCUACGGGAGGCAGCAGUGGGGAAUAUUGGACAAUGGGCGCAAGCCUGAUCCAGCCAUACCGCGUGGGUGAAGAAGGCCUUCGGGUUGUAAAGCCCUUUUGUUGGGAAAGAAAAGCAGCAGGUUAAUACCCCGCUGUUCUGACGGUACCCAAAGAAUAAGCACCGGCUAACUUCGUG